GAUGAACGCUGGCGGCGUGCCUAAUACAUGCAAGUCGAGCGAACAGACGAGGAGCUUGCUCCUCUGACGUUAGCGGCGGACGGGUGAGUAACACGUGGAUAACCUACCUAUAAGACUGGGAUAACUUCGGGAAACCGGAGCUAAUACCGGAUAAUAUAUUGAACCGCAUGGUUCAAUAGUGAAAGACGGUUUUGCUGUCACUUAUAGAUGGAUCCGCGCCGCAUUAGCUAGUUGGUAAGGUAACGGCUUACCAAGGCAACGAUGCGUAGCCGACCUGAGAGGGUGAUGGGCCAAACUGGAACUGGGACCCGGUCCAGCUCCCUAGGGGAGGCAGCGGUAGGGAACCUUCGGCAAUGGGGGAAAGCCGGACGGGGCAAGGCGGCGUGAGGGAUGAAGGUCUUCGGAUCGUAAAACUCUGUUAUAGGGAAGAACAAAUGUGUAAGUAACUAUGCACGUCUUGACGGUACCUAAUCAGAAAGCCACGGCUAACUACGUG
RNAcentral lists this ribosomal RNA (496 nucleotides) under uncultured bacterium. RNAcentral's name for it is "partial 16S ribosomal RNA". It matches the Rfam family "Bacterial small subunit ribosomal RNA", at positions 28 to 507 of the family's 1533-position model. The record is from RNAcentral.